RNAcentral lists this ribosomal RNA (460 nucleotides) under Choanomphalus maacki. RNAcentral describes it as "partial 16S ribosomal RNA". It matches the Rfam family "Bacterial large subunit ribosomal RNA", at positions 1796 to 2620 of the family's 2925-position model. The record is from RNAcentral. Lineage: Eukaryota; Metazoa; Mollusca; Gastropoda; Planorbidae.
UCGCCUGUUUAUCAAAAACAUAGUUUUAUGAAUAAAUAUAAAAUAUUUUCUGCCCAAUGUUUAAUUAUUAAUGGCCGCAGUACCUUGACUGUGCUAAGGUAGCAUAAUCAAUUGGCUUUUAAUUUAGGUCUAGAAUGAAUGGGAUAAUGGGGUUUAGCUGUCUUAAAGAUUAUUAUAAAAAUUUAUUUAUUAGGUGAAAAUACCUAUCUCUAAAAUAAAGACGAGAAGACCCUAUGAAUUUUUAAUUUUUUUUUGUUGGGGCGACAGUUUAAAAUUUAAUCUUAAAUUAAUAUUAUAUAACGAGUAUUUUAAUAAAAAUAAAAUUACCUUAGGGAUAACAGCAUAAUUAUAAAAAUAGUUUGUGACCUCGAUGUUGGACUAGGAACUAUAAGGCUAACCGUCUUAAUAGAUUUGUUCUGUUCGAACAAUUUAAUCCUACGUGAUCUGAGUUCAGACCGGA